RNAcentral lists this ribosomal RNA (253 nucleotides) under uncultured bacterium. RNAcentral's name for it is "partial 16S ribosomal RNA". It matches the Rfam family "Bacterial small subunit ribosomal RNA", at positions 524 to 776 of the family's 1533-position model. The record is from RNAcentral.
GACGAACCGAGCGAACGUUGUUCGGAAUCACUGGGCUUAAAGGGCGCGUAGGCGGGUGCUCAAGUCCGGGGUGAAAUCCCACAGCUCAACUGUGGAACUGCCUCGGAUACUGGGUGUCUCGAGGGUGGCAGGGGUAUGCGGAACUAUCGGUGGAGCGGUGAAAUGCGUUGAUAUCGAUAGGAACUCCGGUGGCGAAGGCGGCAUACUGGUCCACUUCUGACGCUGAGGCGCGAAAGCGUGGGGAGCAAACAGG